Coccinella septempunctata (seven-spotted ladybird) is the source of this 559-nucleotide long non-coding RNA. RefSeq lists it as uncharacterized. NCBI's taxonomy places the organism in Eukaryota, Metazoa, Arthropoda, Insecta, Coleoptera, Coccinellidae. The transcript is spliced from 2 exons. The record is from RefSeq and is a predicted model, not a curated record.
UUUUAAUUUUAUCUAUAUCUCAUUUCGCAAUUACUAUCUACAUCCUGGAAUUGAGGGUGUUAAUAUUCGUUCUUCAGUUAAUACUUGAGAGUAUACCUAUAGUGUAUCUGCUCCAUUUGUAUUCACCGAUUUGGAUGUUCCGAACUGUACAAAUACUGUAUCAGGAAUUCAAGAAUUUUAUUAGCUUUCCUCCUAUAAGGGGUAAGUCCUAUUAACAUGUUCCUCGAGAAUUCAAUUAGGUUACUUAUAUAUUAUUAUAAUUAUGUUAGGGACUGAGGGAGCUCUCAUAAAGACUUUCCUCUCAAGAUUUGAAAUUGAAGAGCAUUUUGAAAGGAGAUUUGUGUGCUGUUCUUUUCCAUUUCUCAAGGCAGGAUCCACCGCCUAUCAAAAGGUGCUUGGAAUUCAAAAUCGAUCAGGAAAAAGGUCAGAUCUGUCCAUUUUGAGCAAUUUGUAGAAUUACUUUGUAAAUAAUUAGGAAUAAGUAUUUUAGGAUUAGAUUCAACAAGGUACCUUGGGAUUUUUGGGAAUUUUGGAUCAAUAGAUUGUUAUUGAAGUUUCA